GAUGAACGCUGGCGGCGUGCCUAAUACAUGCAAGUCGAGCGAACAGACGAGGAGCUUGCUCCUCUGACGUUAGCGGCGGACGGGUGAGUAACACGUGGAUAACCUACCUAUAAGACUGGGAUAACUUCGGGAAACCGGAGCUAAUACCGGAUAAUAUAUUGAACCGCAUGGUUCAAUAGUGAAAGACGGUUUUGCUGUCACUUAUAGAUGGAUACGGGCCGCAUUAGCUAGUUGGUAAGGUAACGGCUUACCAAGGCGACGAGGCGUAGCCGACCGGAGAGGGGGAUCGGCCACAUGGGAGCGGAGCCACGGACCAGACUCCUACGGGAGGCAGCAGUAUGGAAUCGGACGCAGUGGGCGAAAGUCUUACGGAGCAACGCGGCGUGAGAUAUGAAGGCGUUCGGAGCGUAAAGCCCUGUUAUUAGGGAAGAACAAAUGUGUAAGUAACCAUGCACGUCGUGACGGUACCUAAUCAGAAAGCCACGGCUAACUACGUG
RNAcentral lists this ribosomal RNA (497 nucleotides) under uncultured bacterium. RNAcentral's name for it is "partial 16S ribosomal RNA". It matches the Rfam family "Bacterial small subunit ribosomal RNA", at positions 28 to 507 of the family's 1533-position model. The record is from RNAcentral.